Molecule: ribosomal RNA, 1345 nt
Filed under: Apilactobacillus kunkeei
Lineage: Bacteria; Bacillati; Bacillota; Bacilli; Lactobacillales; Lactobacillaceae
Description: bacterial SSU rRNA
Rfam family: Bacterial small subunit ribosomal RNA
Source: RNAcentral
GAGCGAGUGGCGAACUGGUGAGUAACACGUGGGUAACCUGCCCCGAAGCGGGGGAUAACAUUUGGAAACAAGUGCUAAUACCGCAUAAUUAGUUGGAACCGCAUGGUUCCAACUUGAAAGAUGGCUCUGCUAUCACUUUGGGAUGGACCCGCGCCGUAUUAGUUAGUUGGUGAGAUAAAAGCCCACCAAGACGAUGAUACGUAGCCGACCUGAGAGGGUAAUCGGCCACAUUGGGACUGAGACACGGCCCAGACUCCUACGGGAGGCAGCAGUAGGGAAUCUUCCACAAUGGACGAAAGUCUGAUGGAGCAACGCCGCGUGAGUGAUGAAGGUUUUCGGAUCGUAAAACUCUGUUGUUAAAGAAGAACAAGUGUUAGAGUAACUGUUAACACUUUGACGGUAUUUAACCAGAAAGCCACGGCUAACUACGUGCCAGCAGCCGCGGUAAUACGUAGGUGGCAAGCGUUGUCCGGAUUUAUUGGGCGUAAAGCGAGCGCAGGCGGUUUUGUAAGUCUGCUGUGAAAGCCCUCAGCUCAACUGAGGAAGUGCAGUGRAAACUACAAAACUUGAGUACAGAAAGAGGAAAGUGGAACUCCAUGUGUAGCGGUGAAAUGCGUAGAUAUAUGGAAGAACACCAGUGGCGAAGGCGGCUUUCUGGUCUGUUACUGACGCUGAGGCUCGAAAGCAUGGGUAGCGAACAGGAUUAGAUACCCUGGUAGUCCAUGCCGUAAACGAUGAAUACUAGGUGUUGGAGGGUUUCCGCCCUUCAGUGCCGCAGCUAACGCAUUAAGUAUUCCGCCUGGGGAGUACGACCGCAAGGUUGAAACUCAAAGGAAUUGACGGGGGCCCGCACAAGUGGUGGAGCAUGUGGUUUAAUUCGAUGCUACGCGAAGAACCUUACCAGCUCUUGACAUCUUCUGCCAACCCAAGAGAUUGGGCGUUCCCUUCGGGGACAGAAUGACAGGUGGUGCAUGGUUGUCGUCAGCUCGUGUCGUGAGAUGUUGGGUUAAGUCCCGCAACGAGCGCAACCCUUAUUAUUAGUUGCCAGCAUUUAGUUGGGCACUCUAGUGAGACUGCCGGUGAUAAACCGGAGGAAGGUGGGGACGACGUCAAAUCAUCAUGCCCCUUAUGAGCUGGGCUACACACGUGCUACAAUGGAUGGUACAACGAGUCGCGAAACCGCGAGGUCAAGCUAAUCUCUUAAAGCCAUUCUCAGUUCGGAUUGCAGGCUGCAACUCGCCUGCAUGAAGUUGGAAUCACUAGUAAUCGUGGAUCAGCAUGCCACGGUGAAUACGUUCCCGGGCCUUGUACACACCGCCCGUCACACCAUGAGAGUUUGUAACAC